UUUUCUGAAUCUCGGGCAGAUGAACUUCCCUGAAGUGUUUCCAGCUGGGCGUCGAGUGUUUGACCGACGCAUGAAACGACACGUUUGUGAGUAUUUCCUGCUGCUGGACAGGCCCAUGAAGCUCUGCUGUAAAGGCUUCCAUGUCCCAGGCUUCACCUUUACCUGCUGACCAACGGGAGGCGUGGCCAAAACAGCGAUGGGGAGUGGAGCAGCAGGUAGCAGAGAUGGAUCCAGGCCCUGGAUGACUGCUGGACACACAUGACCCACACUAGGCUGCCUUCAUCCAUCCUUUCCUCCUUCACUGAGACUCAGAGUCAGCAUGUAUGUAUUUAUCAGUGAUUUGAAUCCUUUCAUUACAGAGUGAAGUUAAAGUAGACGUGUGAACACACUAAUAAACACAAAGGGACACAACUACUACUCCAUGAUGGAAAGCUGAAGUAUUACACAGCUUUAUGAACCUCCUGUUAUCCUGGUAGACG
This is a long non-coding RNA of Astatotilapia calliptera (eastern happy), 479 nucleotides long. The record is from Ensembl. Lineage: Eukaryota; Metazoa; Chordata; Actinopteri; Cichliformes; Cichlidae.